This 141-nucleotide transfer RNA is filed under the name Clonostachys rosea. It matches the Rfam family "tRNA". From Rfam's summary of the family: Transfer RNA (tRNA) molecules are approximately 80 nucleotides in length. Their secondary structure includes four short double-helical elements and three loops (D, anti-codon, and T loops). The record is from RNAcentral. Lineage: Eukaryota; Fungi; Ascomycota; Sordariomycetes; Hypocreales; Bionectriaceae.
GGGCGUGUGGUCUAGGGGUAUGGCGUUCGGUAAGCUUAAUCGACCCGAAACACAAUUUGAGCAUAAACUAACAGGCUUAGCUUCGCAUCUACAUGAUAGCGACCUUGCGAAAGGUCCGGGGUUCAAUUCCCCGUUCGUCCA